RNAcentral lists this ribosomal RNA (758 nucleotides) under uncultured archaeon. Its description in RNAcentral is "bacterial SSU rRNA". It matches the Rfam family "Archaeal small subunit ribosomal RNA", at positions 102 to 859 of the family's 1478-position model. The record is from RNAcentral.
GGAUAACUUACCCUUUAGGACUGGGAUAACUCUGGGAAACUGGGGAUAAUACUGGAUAUUAGGCUAUGCCUGGAAUGGUUUGCCUUUGAAAUGUUUUUUCGCCUAAGGAUAGGUCUGCGGCUGAUUAGGUCGUUGGUGGGGUAAUGGCCCACCAAGCCGAUGAUCGGUACGGGUUGUGAGAGCAAGGGCCCGGAGAUGGAACCUGAGACAAGGUUCCAGACCCUACGGGGUGCAGCAGGCGCGAAACCUCCGCAAUGUACGAAAGUGCGACGGGGGGAUCCCAAGUGUUAUGCUUUUUUGUAUGACUUUUCAUUAGUGUAAAAAGCUUUUAGAAUAAGAGCUGGGCAAGACCGGUGCCAGCCGCCGCGGUAACACCGGCAGCUCGAGUGGUAGCUGUUUUUAUUGGGCCUAAAGCGUUCGUAGCCGGUUUGAUAAGUCUUUGGUGAAAGCUUGUAGCUUAACUAUAAGAAUUGCUGGAGAUACUAUUAGACUUGAAGUCGGGAGAGGUUAGAGGUACUACCGGGGUAGGGGUGAAAUCCUAUAAUCCUGGGAGGACCACCUGUGGCGAAGGCGUCUAACUGGAACGAUCUUGGCGGUGAGUAACGAAAGCCAGGGGCGCGAACCGGAUUAGAUACCCGGGUAGUCCUGGCCGUAAACGAUGUGGACUUGGUGUUGGAAUGGCUUUGAGUUGUUCCGGUGCCGAAGGGAAGCUGUUAAGUCCACCGCCUGGGAAGUACGGUCGCAAGACUGAAACUUAA